UAUUCCAUGGGGUAUUUUCCUGAGUGAAAACUAUUUUGGUGCCAGUUUGAUUCCAGUUUGUAAACUACUUGAUGGUGACUAGAUACAAAGCGCUAAAGGAGGUCUUUCUAUUAGGAAGCUUGUCAAUUCCCCUCUUCAUGGGGCAACAUUUGGUACAUUAAGCAAAUACAUUGAAAUGCAUUUGUCAGUCUCAGGUGCAGAGUGUAUAAACAUCCCAACUCCACCAUAGGAAUAGGUGAUUAUGGUCUAAUGCUGGAGCAGCUCCUGCUAAGAGAAGCAAUUAGGUGAGUGAUCCAAAGAGAUUUUUGACCUUUUUUUGUUUCUUUUCAGUUUUUUUCUUGCCUGCUAAAUAGGAUUGAGCAGUCAUAUAGCAGAAUGUAAUCUUUCAAGCUGGACGACUUCAACUAAAUGAGGGAUGGAUUUUGCAGUUAAAAUGCCAUCAAGAUCAUACGUAGAAGAGUAAUGAGAGCACUACUAUCUUGUCAAGACAGCUUACUGCAGUUUUGCAGCACAAGGCCAUGAUUUUGACUGGAACACUUGAUUUCCUUUUUCUUAACAUGGAUGUGUUGUGAAAGGCAACCGUUUUGCUUAAAUCAAGUUCUCAUAAAUACUGUAACAGGAGAGCACUCUUAGUAGAUGUUAUCUUUUGGAAGGCCUGGCAUCUGACACCCUCCUGUUUUUCUACCUCAACAGAUCUUGCUGAGUAAUUGAGACCUGUGCUGACAGAAAACAGAUUUUUGACACAGAGAACUGGGAUAAUUUUGACACAUUACAUUUCUGCUCUUGAAGGGUCAUGGAAGUUUAAGUUGUGAGUUUGCACUGAAACUGCUAGACACAGAAGAAAAGAAACACAGGAAGUCUGCAGGACUACAGCUAAGUAACAAAAUCAAGGCUUUACCCUCCUCCAAAACUAUGCAGAAAAGUUGAGAUUGACUGCCAGCUCAUACUGAACUACCUAAGAACUUCCUGAUUUAAACGUUCUCUACAUGUGUUAAAUUCUGUGUAGUGUAUAAUUUCUGAUGAUCGCUGAGAUGUGUCCAGUCAAUUUAGGGGGAAAUUAAGCAUAUAAAUACAUACAAAAAUACUAUUCAGAGUAUAUUUUUAUCUCCAGAAUACUACAAACUUCAGGUAUUUAUCGUUUGACUUGGUCUGAGAAUAAAAAUGAA
This is a long non-coding RNA of Centrocercus urophasianus (Greater sage-grouse), 1166 nucleotides long. RefSeq lists it as uncharacterized. The record is from RefSeq and is a predicted model, not a curated record. The transcript has 3 exons. Lineage: Eukaryota; Metazoa; Chordata; Aves; Galliformes; Phasianidae.